This 155-nucleotide microRNA precursor is filed under the name Amborella trichopoda. RNAcentral describes it as "MIR8565 microRNA precursor family". It matches the Rfam family "MIR8565 microRNA precursor family". Lineage: Eukaryota; Viridiplantae; Streptophyta; Magnoliopsida; Amborellales; Amborellaceae. The record is from Rfam by way of RNAcentral.
CCUACACCCAUGUGUGUAGGACCCCAAAGGAUCACCAUUAAAUUUGACACAGAUCUCUAAAAACGUUAUCACAUGGGUAUGGGACUUGACUUUUCUAGAGAUCUGUGUCAAUUUUAAAUGGUGAUCAUUUGGGGUCCUACACACAUAGGUGUGGG